AUAAUUUCUUUUACUAUAAAAUUUUUAGUUAUUUGUUGUUGCUUAAUACCCAUAACUGUUCAAAUAUUGAAUCAAUUUUAAAUAUAGUUUAUUAUUUAGCUAGACACUUCUUGUAAUAGAUUUUUCCAUUUUCAAUAUAAAUAUGCAUAUGUGUGACUCUCUAUGGCUUUUUUCUGUUAGUGAAUGUGUUGUUUAUAUGUGCUAGACACACGUGUGGUUGUUUACAUUAUGGUUCAUCUCGAUCUUUUGCUAUGUUUUUUAAAAAUAUAUCCGUUAGACUUUUUAAGUUAUAGAUUUUUGCACAGAUAGACUUGCAUACACAAUGAUAUGUCUUUCUUUUUCGUCUCUCCUAUUAUUAUUUUUCCCUUUUACAACUUGUUUGUAAAUAUCCGGUUGAACUUUUCCCAAUUACUCUGUUUUUCCUUAUUGACUUUUAUUAAUAACCUUUUUGAUGUUCUUCCUUAAAUUCUUCACACUGAUGAGAAUGACAAUGCAUAACUUUAAUUAUAAUUAUUAUUAUUAUUAUUAUUAUUAUCAUUAUUAUUAUUAUUAUUCUUACAUAUUUGUAUUGU
Octopus sinensis (East Asian common octopus) is the source of this 572-nucleotide long non-coding RNA. RefSeq lists it as uncharacterized. NCBI's taxonomy places the organism in Eukaryota, Metazoa, Mollusca, Cephalopoda, Octopoda, Octopodidae. The transcript is spliced from 3 exons. The record is from RefSeq and is a predicted model, not a curated record.